This 786-nucleotide ribosomal RNA is filed under the name Triticum aestivum (bread wheat). Its description in RNAcentral is "partial small subunit ribosomal RNA". Lineage: Eukaryota; Viridiplantae; Streptophyta; Magnoliopsida; Poales; Poaceae. The record is from RNAcentral.
CAAGUGACUCCAAAGCACAAACAAGAUGAUAAAGGAAAUCCAUAUGUUGCUCUUUCUCUUAUGGUAUCCCAGGGAUGUUUGGAGCCAGGUCACACGGUGCAUGCAGAGUUUGAGUUGUCAAUAUUCAACCAUUCAAAAGGAAUGUAUUAUGGAUACAAAGCUAGCUACAACUACGCUUUCCAGAAUGGCUACUCGAACAAGGAAUGCUUGAUUUCUCUUCAGGACCUACUGAAAUCAUCUGCUUUUCUAGUUGAUGAUAGUUGUGUCUUUGGUGUGGAGAUAUUAAAAAUUGAUGUCUCUUCUCCUGAAAAGAAGGCCGUCGUGGUUCAAAAGAAAGCUACCACAGUUCAGAACCUCUUUAUCCAGAAGAAGGGAUUCAUCAAAGGGACAUACACUUGGACCAUAAACAAUUUCCAAGAAUUGGAUUCUCAGAACUUUGUCCGUUCUCCUACAUUUGAAGUUGGCGGGCAUAAAUGGUACAUUGGCAUGUAUCCGCGUGGUGAGAGGCGCAGAACUGAUUGCCUCGCCUUGGGAUUGUACCGGGAGUCUGCGGAUGAGCUGUCCAGGAAGGUGGUUCAAAUUACUCUGUCCAUCCUGGACCAAAAGAAUGGGAAAUACCUCACUAGAACUACAAAUCUCUUGGUGUGUACACAUCCAGAAGGGUGGGGAUGGAUAGCCUUCUUGCCACUCAAGGAACUCCAGGAUAUGUCCAGAGGGUAUCUUAUAGAAUCGAAGUGCGUCCUCAAGGCAGAUUUCACUAUCUUCGGGUCAUCGAAUGAUGGCUAG